Small nucleolar RNA from Heterocephalus glaber (naked mole-rat), 110 nucleotides. The record is from Ensembl. Lineage: Eukaryota; Metazoa; Chordata; Mammalia; Rodentia; Bathyergidae.
UGCAGCAGUGCUGCUUAUGGACUAAGACUUAUGGACAGCUGCAAAAAAUCCACUUUUGCAACUCAAAACUCACUGUUCAGUAGGAGUUUCGAUACAUAAGAAGGAAUAAG